Molecule: ribosomal RNA, 468 nt
Filed under: uncultured bacterium
Lineage: Bacteria
Description: partial 16S ribosomal RNA
Rfam family: Bacterial small subunit ribosomal RNA
Source: RNAcentral
GACGAACGCUGGCGGCGUGCUUAACACAUGCAAGUCGAACGGAAAGGCCCUGCUUUUGUGGGGUGCUCGAGUGGCGAACGGGUGAGUAACACGUGAGUAACCUGCCCUUGACUUUGGGAUAACUUCAGGAAACUGGGGCUAAUACCGGAUAGGAGCUCCUGCUGCAUGGUGGGGGUUGGAAAGUUUCGGCGGUUGGGGAUGGACUCGCGGCUUAUCAGCUUGUUGGUGGGGUAGUGGCUUACCAAGGCUUUGACGGGUAGCCGGCCUGAGAGGGUGACCGGCCACAUUGGGACUGAGAUACGGCCCAGACUCCUACGGGAGGCAGCAGUGGGGAAUAUUGCACAAUGGGCGGAAGCCUGAUGUAGCAACGCCGCGUGCGGGAUGACGGCCUUCGUGUUGUAAACCGCUUUCGCCUGUGACGAAGCGUGAGUGACGGUAAUGGGUAAAGAAGCACCGGCUAACUACGUG